GCGUGAAUGUAUUUGUGUUUUAUAUUUUGAGGUUUUAUUAGAAAUUGAGUGGGUAAUGCGUUUUGGGUUUAGGGUUUAGCUUCAUCAAAAUGAAUUUUGUGUGCCUUUGUUGCGUUAUUCGUUAAGUAUUUUAUUUUAUUUUUUUUCUGUUUUAUGUACGCAGCCACUGGAUUUUGAUGUGAUUGUGGCAUUACAUUCUAAUGGAAAACGAAUAUGUACUUUGCAGUAGAGUCAAUUUUGUAAAUGGAAUCUCUUUGGUUUAAGUUAAUUAAGAAUUUAAGUUUGGAAGCCAGUAACUAUUGAAUUCAAUCUAUUUUUUGCAGCUACUUUUGCACAAGGGUUGCGCUUUCCCCUACUCUUCAUUGUUUGGUUUUUUCUUUUUUUUUUUU
RNAcentral lists this unclassified non-coding RNA (389 nucleotides) under Hevea brasiliensis (rubber tree). The record is from RNAcentral. Lineage: Eukaryota; Viridiplantae; Streptophyta; Magnoliopsida; Malpighiales; Euphorbiaceae.